GUCCCAACGAAUAAUACCGAGAAAUCAGCCAUAUCAAGCGGCACAGAUUGAGCAUGCGUUGAAAGCAUGGGCAUUUCCUGGAAGUAUUUCUGUCGUCUGCAGCAGGAGCUCUACGGUUCACCUUCCAGUUCUCCACGAGAUACGUCUUUACUUUAACAAAACACUACAACCUCUGA
Molecule: long non-coding RNA, 176 nt
Organism: Ornithodoros turicata
Lineage: Eukaryota; Metazoa; Arthropoda; Arachnida; Ixodida; Argasidae
Exons: 3
Source: RefSeq, a predicted model, not a curated record